CCUACGGGUGGCAGCAGUGGGGCAUAUUGGGCAAUGGGCGCAAGCCUGACCCAGCAACGCCGCGUGAAGGAAGAAGGCUUUCGGGUUGUAAACUUCUUUUCUCAGGGACGAAGCAAGUGACGGUACCUGAGGAAUAAGCCCCGGCUAACUCCGUGCCAGCAGCCGCGGUAAUACGUAGGUGGCAAGCGUUAUCCGGAUUUACUGUGUGUAAAGGGCGUGUAGGCGGGGACGCAAGUCAGAUGUGAAACCCACGGGCUCAACCUGUGGCCUGCAUUUGAAACUGUGUUUCUUGAGUACUGGAGAGGCAGACGGAAUGCCUAGUGUAGCGGUGAAAUGCGUAGAUAUUAGGAGGAACACCAGUGGCGAAGGCGGUCUGCUGGACAGCAACUGACGCUGAGGCGCGAAAGCGUGGGGAGUAAACAGGAUUAGAUACCCUUGUAGUC
Molecule: ribosomal RNA, 443 nt
Filed under: uncultured bacterium
Lineage: Bacteria
Description: partial 16S ribosomal RNA
Rfam family: Bacterial small subunit ribosomal RNA
Source: RNAcentral